This 117-nucleotide non-coding RNA is filed under the name Nomascus leucogenys (northern white-cheeked gibbon). The record is from Rfam by way of RNAcentral. Lineage: Eukaryota; Metazoa; Chordata; Mammalia; Primates; Hylobatidae.
GUCGGGCGUGGUGGCUCACGCCUGUAAUCCCAGCACUUUGGGAGGCUGAGGCAGGUGGAUCACUUGAGGCCAGGAGUUCGAGACCAGCCUGGCCAACAUGGUGAAACCCCGUCUCUA